Molecule: RNA transcript, 1216 nt
Organism: Prosopis cineraria
Lineage: Eukaryota; Viridiplantae; Streptophyta; Magnoliopsida; Fabales; Fabaceae
Gene name: sufE-like protein 2, chloroplastic
Exons: 3
Source: RefSeq, a predicted model, not a curated record
AAGAUUUUGAAACUUCAACACUCUCUUACUCUGUUUCUUAUGUCUCCGUCUUUGACCAGAGAAUCAUACGAGCCUCAUAAUUUUCCUAACUUCAUGGAUCUCUUCUCCAUGAUCACUUCAUAGUUUUCUUCUUCACAAUUCACUGAAGCCGAUUCUACACCAUGGUCUCUGCUACUCCAAAGUCAUUCACCAGUCUUGCUUCUUCUUCUUCACAUUCCUAUCUCUUCCCAAAACUGUCGAAUCGUAAUCCCUUCACUCCUAAACACGUCGUCAAAUAUAAACUCUGGGUCGACAACAAUGGAGGAAAUCGCUUGCUUCACAGAUCCCGUUCUGAGAUCAAUUCCGUUCCUCGAAUCCCUAGCUUUUCUUGUGCCGUCGCCUUACCGUCAGACGUCGUCGCCGCCGCCGAUAAGCUCAAUCAACUCGUUUCGGAAUUUAGGUCUCUCUCGGAGCCAAUCGAUCGAGUGAAAAGGCUGUUGCAUUUCGCGGCGCUUCUGCCUCCGCUGGACGAAUCGGCCCGCGUGCCGGAGAACAGAGUGAAGGGAUGCACAACUCAGGUGUGGUUGAUUGCGGAGAUGGACGAGUGUGGGAGAAUGAGAUUCAGAGCCGAUAGCGAUUCUGAGAUAUCGAAGGGUUUCUGCUGGUGCUUGAUCUGGAUUUUGGACGGCGCCGAGCCGGAGGAGGUGUUGACGGUGGCGGCGGAGGAUUUGGCGGAGAUGAACGUGGGCUUGCAUGUGAAGGCCCAGUCCAGAGUGAACACUUGGCACAAUAUCUUGUUCAGCAUGCAGAAGGCCACCAGGGAAAAAUUUGAUCAAUUUGUUUCUCCUUCGUCUUGCAAUCAUUGAUUAGCUUCAUGACUAACUGGACAAUGCCAUACGCCAUGGUAGACACAUUAGAUUUUAAAUCUAAGAGACACGAAUGGAAUCAAAAACUAGAGGGAGAGUUGAGAAGAAACUGAGAGAGAAGCAUGGAGCCUUACUAGGGUUUGACUCUACCUAUGCUUGGAGGUGUUUUUGGGUUACCAAAUCCUUAGGAGAAGAGCUACGAGUAACACGUGGAAGAGUCCCAGAGGCUUAGUGGCAUAGAUCCACUGUCUCUUUUGGGUAUUUGAUUUAUGAUUUAUAAUGUGUUAUAUUGUCAAUAUUAGGACUUUUUGUUUAUUGAUAAUUAUAUGAAUAUAUAAAUGUAAUCAUACUUUUCAAACUAUUUCUAUUUU